ACCUGGGAUUCAAGCCGCCAGGCAAAGUGCCCUAGCAGGGACUCUGGCUUAGUGAGAGUCUCUGUUUCCCCCUUUUCUUUCUUUCCACCCAAUAAAACCGGGUCUUACUCAUCAUUCAAAUUGUCUGCGAGCCUGAAUUUUUGUGGCCGUGGGACAAAGAACCCCGUCUUUAACGGAACUAAGGAAAAGCCCUGCAACAAUUUUGGCGCGCAACGUGGGGACUUGAGAAGCGGUUGAACUCUUUUGUGUCAACUAAAAGAACAUAUGAACAUAGCAGGGCUGUCAAGAUAAGGCCACAAGCUUGCCGAGUUGGGGACCUUUGAAAUACAAAGUGACAAGGUUCAACCCAACAACCUGACUUAAUGAAAGUGAAAAACAUUAGCCAGUGAAAAUAUAGAAGGAAAAACAUCAUUGUGAUGGUAACAGAGCUCUGGCCACAGGUGAGGCAUGUGCCAGUUUUUUCAUAACUAUCAAACAGUGCUACCUCCUGUAAACAAACAUUGAAGGUUUUAGCCCUGGUCAAAGUUCCCAAAGAUCUCUCAAUGCCUCUGAUAAGUGUGACUUUAACUCAAGGAAACACUGAUCUCUCUUCAUGUCUCAAAAAUCUGGAUACAGAGCUGUGGGUCACAUUUGGAGAUGCUCAAUUUUGUUCUCCACUACUGAAUUCUCGAGUGAACUAUUCUGUACAAAUCUACUUUAAUUAUGUAUUAAUUUCAAUAUUAUUACAUGCAGUACACAACUGCUACUCAUUAAAAAUUAAUCUAGA
Molecule: long non-coding RNA, 766 nt
Filed under: Homo sapiens (human)
Lineage: Eukaryota; Metazoa; Chordata; Mammalia; Primates; Hominidae
Description: non-protein coding lnc-ACO1-9:1
Source: RNAcentral